UCAGGGCACGGAGUGACGGCGAGCGAGAAGGGGAAGAUAAGUUUCUCCUCGUGGAGGUAUUCACAGGUAUUUUCAACUGGAGAGCAGAGGGAAAAACAUCAUUUCGGUAACUUGUAGACUGUGUUCCGGUUCAAAAAUACUUUCUACGGCGAACAACAGCAACAGCAAUCUGCUGAAGCACCUGGAGAAGCGACAGUUAGCAGCUAAGGUGGCUAACGCAGCAGCAUCCGAGACCGAGCGUCACGGCGGCAAGCACACACGCCCACUCCACCCAAGCAGCAGCAGUUGGAGUUCGAAAUAGGGACCCAUAGCCAGGAACAACUUGACAAUAGCACGAUAUGUAGUGGAAAACAUGCUACCCAUCUCCACAGUGGAGGACCCUGCUUUCAGACAGAUCAUCAGCAUGGUGCUGUGCACAGAUCUGUCACCUGAUGUCUGAUGGUGACGUGCCUUAUCAGCUGUGAUCUUCCUGUCACAUUUUACGUGUCAACCACGCCUCCUGCUGUCAGGUCACUCCCCCAGGACGACGCUCCAGGUGUGUAACAGUAUGUACGCUCCUUCAUCCCGGUUAAUUUUCAUAUGCACGUUUCCCUAUUUCCACUGCCUCCAUGAUCCAUCGUUGGUAUCAGUUUUCUACUGCGCGAGUCACUCUGGCCUCUUCCCAAUUCAUUAUGGGAUUUUAAGUUUUCCUGGUAUGCUUUUUUCUUUUUCUUAUAUGCCUCUUUUCUCUUUCUUUUUUUGCAUUCUUUCUGAAAUUCUUUUUUGCGAGUGUUGAAACAUCUUUCUGUUUCACCGAUGUCAACAUUAUUGCAAGAACACCAAGGGAUUUCAUAGAUGAUAUUGCAUUUAUUGUCUGGUUGUACCUUGUCCGUGUGGUGUACUAGUCGCUGUCAGAGAUUUGGGUUGAUGUGGUAUUUUUUUCAUGGCUUGUUGGAUGCGUUCUGUGAUACCUUUUAACGUAUGGCAGUGUGACGAAACCCCGGUUUGUUUUGCUUGUGUUUAUCCUUUUCUGUUUGUUAUUUUCCGUUGUUUAUGUUUAUGCUGUUUCUGCGGUCAUAUAGUGUUCUGAUAACUGAACGUUUCUGUGCAAUGGAAUGUUCGUGAAAUUUGGGAACAUUGCCUUCCUCUGUAUAGUAUAUUUUUAAGUCCAGAAAUGCUAUUGUAUUUUCCGUUUCCUCUUUGUGCGUGAAUUUGAUGUUUCCUGUUUAAGUGAUCCGUGAGUUGUUGUGUCUAUCUUGGUUAUUUGAUUCCGUUUACAAAGGGUGGGUUUGUGGUCCGUUGCUGUUUGCAUGGCUUUGGUCUCCAGAAUCUCCAUAAAAAAAUCCGCACAUAGUCACGGACACGUGGUCUCCCAUUGUAGAUUGUGUCUCUGAAUUGAAAAUGUCUUGCCAUCA
Long non-coding RNA from Solea solea (common sole), 1394 nucleotides. RefSeq lists it as uncharacterized. NCBI's taxonomy places the organism in Eukaryota, Metazoa, Chordata, Actinopteri, Pleuronectiformes, Soleidae. The transcript is spliced from 3 exons. The record is from RefSeq and is a predicted model, not a curated record.